GAGGAAAGCUGGCGGCGUGCUUAACACAUGCAAGUCGAACGAUGAAGCCCAGCUUGCUGGGUGGAUUAGUGGCGAACGGGUGAGUAACACGUGAGUAACCUGCCCUUAACUCUGGGAUAAGCCUGGGAAACUGGGUCUAAUACCGGAUAGGAGCGCCUACCGCAUGGUGGGUGUUGGAAAGAUUUAUCGGUUUUGGAUGGACUCGCGGCCUAUCAGCUUGUUGGUGAGGUAAUGGCUCACCAAGGCGACGACGGGUAGCCGGCCUGAGAGGGUGACCGGCCACACUGGGACUGAGACACGGCCCAGACUCCUACGGGAGGCAGCAGUGGGGAAUAUUGCACAAUGGGCGAAAGCCUGAUGCAGCGACGCCGCGUGAGGGAUGACGGCCUUCGGGUUGUAAACCUCUUUCAGUAGGGAAGAAGCGAAAGUGACGGUACCUGCAGAAGAAGCACCGGCUAACUACGUG
This 466-nucleotide ribosomal RNA is filed under the name uncultured bacterium. RNAcentral's name for it is "partial 16S ribosomal RNA". It matches the Rfam family "Bacterial small subunit ribosomal RNA", at positions 28 to 507 of the family's 1533-position model. The record is from RNAcentral.